Molecule: long non-coding RNA, 1603 nt
Organism: Carya illinoinensis
Lineage: Eukaryota; Viridiplantae; Streptophyta; Magnoliopsida; Fagales; Juglandaceae
Exons: 2
Source: RefSeq, a predicted model, not a curated record
UAUAUAGAACGACCCUUACAGGAAACCAGAAGUAGAUGAAGAGACGCGAGGGAGGUCUUCUGGCUCCUCAGAUGAAGUUUUCAUAACCAAAUAAGAUCGCCCCUCUCGCCCCAUUGCCUUCGUCGCUCCCUAUCACAAGCUACGUCAUCCCCUUCAUCAAAUAAUAGGAAAUCCCUUCCUUCCUCAUAUUAAAUCACACUCUUCCUCGCUCUCGCCCUGGCCAUCGCCCCAUCUCUAUUGGCAUCCCCUUCCUCAAGAGAGGACCCCUUUCCUCAAGUACCCAGUCUGCCCUAGAGUCCAUCCCUUCGUGUUUGGUAUAGCUGUAAGGUAUAGCCUUAGAGUCCAUCAAAUUUUUUGUUGUUUCCUUCGUGUUUGGUUCUGGAAAAUUGGUGUUUGGUUUUGGUAAUUCAUAUGACAAUUCGUGUUUGAUUAUGGAAAAUCGUAGAAUAUGAAGAUGAAAUGUAUGAAUAGUCACUUUGAAAAUUUGUGUUAAGAUCUUUAUGUAUUUCUGGUUUGACUUUUCUAGUUUUGAUUGUGUGCACUCUACUUGUUUGUAAAAAUUUGUGAAUGGGUUUGAUAUGGUAACUCAUGCUUGCAGUGUAUGUGUUUGAACUUGCAGACUCGUUAAUAGUCUCCUUGCAACUUACUUAUUACUUCAAUGCUAUCAUUUACAUAUUGCAAGUGGUGUCCAUAAUCUGAUUAUUGCUUGUAUUGUAGUGUUCAAACUCAUAUUGUGUCCACCCAUCCAUUAAUUUCAUCUAUCUCAAUAAAGUUGUUAAUCCAGGAGUUGUAGGAGUGCCUGAUUAUUUUUGGAGCCUCUAGCCCUUAGAAGUGCUUGGACAAGAGGUGUAUAGUUUGUCAUCAGGUAGUAGAAAUUGAUAAUUGAAUGCAUAAUGUGAUUCUUUCAUUUUUUUUUCUUUUCUUUUCAUUUGUUUGUUUUAAUGGGCUUAGUUGGUUAUGGAGUCACGUUUUCUUAUCUGCUAUAGGCACAACACAGUUCCAGUAUAACAUAGUAUCGAAAGCUAUUUCUGUUUUUGAUAUGCAAUGUCUUCAUCGCAUUCUUCAUCUUGUUUGGUUGAUUGUUCUUUGAAUCAAGCUCCAAAAUGUUCAUGUGGAGAGAUGGCACUUUCUAAAAUUAUCGAAAACCCCAAGAAAUCCAAGGCGACUUUUUUAUUCUUGUCCAAAUUACAAUGAAGAGAUAUUGAAGUAGAAAAUGAAGGAAAAGUUAUAUGUGAAAAAGAAUGUCACCUCCAAAAGAGAGAGGAAGAACUCCAAAAGUGGGAGGGAGAACUCCAAAAGAUGAAGGAAGAACUUCAACGUGAAAGGGUACAAAUUCAAAAAUCGGAAGAGGAUAUCCAAAAUGAUCGGGAUGAGAUUCAUGGUGUGAUGAAAGAUAUUAACCAUGCACGCAUGCGAUCCUGCAUGUAUUAGGGACUUGUAAUUCUAAUAUUUUAUUGUUGGAUAGGAUCAAGAGCAAUUACAGAUAAAGUAAAUGUGUAUCAAAUUAUGUAAUGUUGUUAAGUAGGUUGUAACAGAUAGAUUUACAACCUUUAUCAAUAUUGUAAUAUUCAAACCGAGCAGUUAUGUAUGGAGCUCUUAGAAU